GACGAACGCUGGCGGCGUGCUUCAUACAUGCAAGUCGAACGAGAAUCUCUAGCUUGCUAGAGAGGAAAGUGGCGACGGGUGAGUAAUAUGUAGAGAAUCUGCCCUAAAGAGGGGGACAACAGAGGGAAACUCCUGCUAAUACCCCAUAUGCGCGUAGUUGAGAUACUAUUCGUGAAAGAUUUAUCGCUUUAGGAUGAGUCUGCAUCUGAUUAGUUAGUUGGCGGUGUAAUGGACCACCAAGGCGACGAUCAGUAGCUGGUUUGAGAGGAUGAUCAGCCACAAUGGGACUGAGACACGGCCCAUACUCC
Molecule: ribosomal RNA, 308 nt
Filed under: uncultured cyanobacterium
Lineage: Bacteria; Bacillati; Cyanobacteriota
Description: bacterial SSU rRNA
Rfam family: Bacterial small subunit ribosomal RNA
Source: RNAcentral